RNAcentral lists this ribosomal RNA (1490 nucleotides) under metagenome. Its description in RNAcentral is "bacterial SSU rRNA". It matches the Rfam family "Bacterial small subunit ribosomal RNA". The record is from RNAcentral.
AGAGUUUGAUCCUGGCUCAGGAUGAACGCUGGCGGCGUGCUUAACACAUGCAAGUCGAACGAAGCACUUAUCUUUGAUUCUUCGGAUGAAGAGGUUUGUGACUGAGUGGCGGACGGGUGAGUAACGCGUGGGUAACCUGCCUCAUACAGGGGGAUAACAGUUAGAAAUGACUGCUAAUACCGCAUAAGACCACGGAGCCGCAUGGCUCUGUGGGAAAAACUCCGGUGGUAUGAGAUGGACCCGCGUCUGAUUAGGUAGUUGGUGGGGUAACGGCCUGCCAAGCCAACGAUCAGUAGCCGACCUGAGAGGGUGACCGGCCACAUUGGGACUGAGACACGGCCCAAACUCCUACGGGAGGCAGCAGUGGGGAAUAUUGCACAAUGGGGGAAACCCUGAUGCAGCGACGCCGCGUGAGCGAAGAAGUAUUUCGGUAUGUAAAGCUCUAUCAGCAGGGAAGAAAAUGACGGUACCUGACUAAGAAGCACCGGCUAAAUACGUGCCAGCAGCCGCGGUAAUACGUAUGGUGCAAGCGUUAUCCGGAUUUACUGGGUGUAAAGGGAGCGUAGACGGCUGUGUAAGUCUGAAGUGAAAGCCCGGGGCUCAACCCCGGGACUGCUUUGGAAACUAUGCAGCUAGAGUGUCGGAGAGGUAAGUGGAAUUCCCAGUGUAGCGGUGAAAUGCGUAGAUAUUGGGAGGAACACCAGUGGCGAAGGCGGCUUACUGGACGAUGACUGACGUUGAGACUCGAAAGCGUGGGGAGCAAACAGGAUUAGAUACCCUGGUAGUCCACACCGUAAACGAUGAAUGCUAGGUGUAGGAGGUAUCGACCCCUUCUGUGCCGGAGUUAACGCAAUAGCAUUCCGCCUGGGGAGUACGGCCGCAAGGCUGAAACUCAAAGGAAUUGACGGGGGCCCGCACAAGCGGUGGAGUAUGUGGUUUAAUUCGACGCAACGCGAAGAACCUUACCAGGGCUUGACAUUGAGUGAAAGGACAAGAGAUUGUCCCCUCUCUUCGGAGACACGAAAACAGGUGGUGCAUGGCUGUCGUCAGCUCGUGUCGUGAGAUGUUGGGUUAAGUCCCGCAACGAGCGCAACCCCUAUCCUUUGUUGCCAGCACGUUAUGGUGGGAGCUCAAAGGAGACUGCCGCGGACAACGCGGAGGAAGGCGGGGAUGACGUCAAGUCAUCAUGCCCCUUAUGUCCUGGGCUACACACGUACUACAAUGGGAUGGACAGAGAGCAGCGAAGCCGCGAGGCCAAGCGAACCCCAUAAACCAUCUCCCAGUUCGGAUUGCAGGCUGCAACCCGCCUGCAUGAAGUUGGAAUCGCUAGUAAUCGCAGGUCAGCAUACUGCGGUGAAUACGUUCCCGGGCCUUGUACACACCGCCCGUCACACCACGGAAGUCAUUCACACCCGAAGCCGGCAGGCUAACCUUUUGGAGGCAGCCGUCUAAGGUGGGGGCGAUGACUGGGGUGAAGUCGUAACAAGGUA